This 250-nucleotide ribosomal RNA is filed under the name uncultured prokaryote. Its description in RNAcentral is "partial 16S ribosomal RNA". It matches the Rfam family "Bacterial small subunit ribosomal RNA", at positions 524 to 773 of the family's 1533-position model. The record is from RNAcentral.
UACGUAGGUGGCAAGCAUUGUCCGGAAUAACUGGGCGUAAAGCGAGUGUAGGUGGUGGAAUAAGUUAAAAGUGAAAUCCCGGGGCUCAACUCCGGAACUGCUUUUAAUACUGUUUCACUAGAGUGCAGCAGGGGUAAGAGGAAUUCCUAGUGUAGAGGUAAAAUUCGUAGAUAUUAGGAGGAACACCGGAGGCGAAGGCGUCUUACUGGGCUGUAACUGACACUGAGGCUCGAAAGCGUGGGGAGCAAAC